Molecule: ribosomal RNA, 412 nt
Filed under: uncultured bacterium
Lineage: Bacteria
Description: bacterial SSU rRNA
Rfam family: Bacterial small subunit ribosomal RNA
Source: RNAcentral
AUUGAACGCUGGCGGCAGGCCUAACACAUGCAAGUCGAGCGAGAAAGGUCUUCGGACUGAGUACAGCGGCGGACGGGUGAGUAAUGCGCAGGAAUCUACCUGGUAGUGGGGGAUAACUCGGGGAAACUCGAACUAAUACCGCAUACGCCUACGGGGAAAGGACGGGGACCGUUCGGGCCGUCGCGCUAUCAGAUGAGCCUGCGUAGGAUUAGCUUGUUGGUGAGGUAAAGGCUCACCAAGGCGACGAUCCUUAGCUGGUCUGAGAGGAUGAUCAGCCACACUGGAACUGAGACACGGUCCAGACUCCUACGGGAGGCAGCAGUGGGGAAGUAUUGCGCAAUGGGCGAAAGCCUGACGCAGCCAUGCCGCGUGUGUGAAGAAGGCCCUUGGGUUGUAAAGCACUUUCAAUUGG